AUUGAACGCUGGCGGCAGGCCUAACACAUGCAAGUCGAGCGGGGUUUUCGGACCUAGCGGCGGACGGGUGAGUAAUGCGUAGGAAGCUACCCGACAGAGGGGGAUACCAGUUGGAAACGACUGUUAAUACCGCAUAAUGUCUACGGACCAAAGUGUGGGACCUUCGGGCCACAUGCUAUCGGAUGCGCCUACGUGGGAUUAGCUAGUUGGUGAGGUAAUGGCUCACCAAGGCGACGAUCUCUAGCUGGUUUGAGAGGAUGAUCAGCCACACUGGAACUGAGACACGGUCCAGACUCCUACGGGAGGCAGCAGUGGGGAAUAUUGGACAAUGGGCGGCAAGCCUGAUCCAGCCAUGCCGCGUGUGUGAAGAAGGCCUCGGUUGUAAG
This 386-nucleotide ribosomal RNA is filed under the name uncultured bacterium. RNAcentral describes it as "bacterial SSU rRNA". It matches the Rfam family "Bacterial small subunit ribosomal RNA", at positions 30 to 429 of the family's 1533-position model. The record is from RNAcentral.